UUUUGACAUUUCAGCACUUUUAUUUCUGACCCAGACUUGAUUUCUCAAAGCUCUAGCUUGAAAAGUAGUUUGAGUCCAGAUCUGCUUGCAGUUAUCAUACAUUUUGUCUUAAUAAAAAUUAAAAAAAAAAAUAAAAAAAAAACUGACUUCAUAAAUAUUGCUCUUCCACGCCAGUCCAGUUGCCUCAUGGGAUAGCGCAGUGUCCAGCAGCUGGUGUCUUGGUGGAAGCAGAAGAUCAUCCGGGUAUUUCUCGCCUACUGUUUUAUGAAUAGUGAGAAUUCGGACAUACUACUCCUUCAAGAUACUGCUUUUCGCCUGUCUAUGGUACAGUAGUAGGCAUAUUCAGACGCAGCCAAGGUGUGCAGUGGAUCCGGAGCCAAUCCCGGGAACCCUAGCGCAGGCGUUGAACUCUUACCAGCGUGUUUUUAAAAGGUUGGAGAAAACUGGAGAACCCAGAGGAAUCUCGCAUGGACACAGAGGGAACAUAUAAUAAAGCAACCCAAGCUCAGGAUUGAAUCUGGGACCCUGGAGCUGUGAGGCUACCCAUUUCACCACCAUGUCACCAACAGUUGUAGUAAAAAUAAAUAAAUAAAAACAACUGGUGUGUUUAUACCCACUGUAUCCAAUGUCAUGCUAACAACCUUCGGAAAAGGGUUUCUUGGAAAUGCUCUGAUGAAUAACCGUUAGCUUUCUAGGGGGUUGUUUUUGGAAUCUGUUAUAGGAUUCUUCCAGAGAGACAAACCAAAGAACUCUCCAUGGUACAAAUGUACAACAGCAGUUCUAUAGUCUGAAUCUUAAACUGGUUUUAAAAGGUACACAAUAUCUAUGUAACAGUUGGGAAUCCUGCACAAUUUGAUCAUUUCUCAGCCCUAACAUACCUUCUAAACCCAGUACUGACUUGAAUUUGAGCAAUGAAACCACCAAACUGU
Molecule: long non-coding RNA, 929 nt
Organism: Ictalurus punctatus (channel catfish)
Lineage: Eukaryota; Metazoa; Chordata; Actinopteri; Siluriformes; Ictaluridae
Exons: 3
Source: RefSeq, a predicted model, not a curated record